UCAAGGGUCUACUGUGCACUUAAAAACUGGCUUAGCCAAAUGUAAAAAGCAUAGGGUUCCCAUAACCCAUCCAAAGAUUUUUUAAUUUCUAAGAAAUAGGUGCAACUAUCAACCAAUCAAGCUUUGUUAAAUAAAACUUCUGACAAAAUGGCUCUCGACUAUGUUCUUGACUUUAAACCAAAUAAUUUUGGUCCUAAUAAUGUGAUUUUGAAAUCAGGUUUAUCGUCUUUAAGCCUAUCUAUUAUAAAUAUACAAAUAUUAUGCAAUUUUAAAUAAAUAUUUGGUCAAUCAAAUUUUUUGGCUUUGCAGAACCUUUGCAAAAUGUGAAUUUAGAAAUAAAUUCAGGCAAUUCAGAUAAAAACAGAUAGCAAUUCUUAAAGCAUUAUUACCUGUGUCAAUUUUACUCCGCAGACAAGUGGACUUCCAUGACAAACUGACACUUACAAAUAUCAUAAAUAGGCAAUAAAGGAAUGUAAUUACCUCGACAGGUAAAAACGUUUAAAAAUUAGCUAAUAACAAUUUUAUUGAUAAAGUACAUUUUUAAACUAUCGUAUCUUUUAAGCUAGUGAAGGUAUAGCAUAUGUUACAUCAAGUUGUAUUAAAAUUAAGCGUAGAAUCGGAAAAUGAAUAAAAAAAUUAACCAUUCCAUUUAAAGAAAGUAACUUUGGUCUCUACUACUGUUAUGAUGCCUCCUGUAUAUGCAGAUCUAAAAGAUAUCUAUAAUUUUUAUUUGGAUCACUUUUUCAUAAAAUGGCGCGUUCUUGAAUUAUUAAGUGUAAAAUAUCCUAAGGUUGAAAAUCUAUACCCUAAACAUAAAUACAUAUAAUAAUAUAAUAUAAGCAGAGAUUGAGAGAGACCCAAAAAAGUAAAAGAGGCAGUGAGUGCUGGGCACUUCGGCUUAUAAAGAGCCAUGGAUAUAGUGGUGAUAGUUUACCAGGUGUGGUGGUGUUUGUCCAUUAGGUGGAUAUUAGAAUGGUUGUGAUUGUUUUGUGCACAGGUAAAUCAUGUCGACAUGUGAGUAAUAUUUUAUAUUGUUGUUGUAUAAGUCCAUGGCUAGAGUUUUAUGGUAUACCAGAGUUUGUCGCUGUUUAGCGAGGUAUUACCAGGUUUGUGUAGCAAUCGACAGGGAUGCCCUCUGAGCGCGCAGUUCCUUCGAGUUGGUCUUGUGAAUUAUAGAGGGCCCUCACUUGUCUUCUUGAUUGACACAUUUGGAUUCUAAGAUCUCGGUAUAUGUUAUCUUAGUUUCCGAGUGUUGAGAUGCUUACCGCUUAGCGGCAGUGAAGCGUCUGGCGUAACCUUAACUAUUUUAGGGGGCACGAGCUAGUCGUCGAAGAAAGAAGAUAUAUAUAUGUAAAUUAUUAACAAACAUAAAGUAACUACAUAUGUUAAUGGUUGUUGGCAUGACUGAAUCAAGGGGACCGAGGUUUCCCGUAUCGGCAUGUUUUGGCGCCAAAUCUUAUUAGUCUUUGGUACAUCAACAAAGCAGAGCCUUAACAAGUGUGGUUAUUUUGUCUAGGAUAUUCGUAAUACCUGAGGACCUAAUUAAGGUUUGCCUGAAAUAUUCUUUUGUCGAGCAGUUAUUGGAUAUUGUCCAAUAAAUGGUACUGGUCUGUCCAAUAGACUUUUGUAUUUAGGUAUAUUGCUAGAAUGCCUAAAAAGGGGCAAUAUGAUACCAGUUCUAUGGACACCGCAAUUAACGAGGUUAAGAAUAAUAAACUGGGAUUAAGGGCGGCGGCUAAAAACCCUGGUCAUAAGGAAACUUGCGGCCCAUCCCCUAUAUUGACCUUAAAAGAGGAACAACAGCUUGUAAAGUGGAUAGAAGAGUUAGCAAAUAGAGGAUUUCCAAGAAAAAAAGAAGAUAUUCUCAACAGUGUUCAACAGUUUCUAAUCGAAAAUCCACAACCAAAUCCGUUUAACAAUAACAGACCCGGCGACUGUUGGUUUAAGGCUUUCCUACGGAGAAAUCCGACAAUCGUGCAAAGAACCAGUGAAGCAGUUAGCAACGCAAGUGCUUGUGUCUGUGAAAAAGAUAUAAGGAAAUGGUUUAGAGAAAUUCAAGAUUACCUGCCGAUAAAAAAUAUUAAUAUGAAUAAUCCUUCUCGAAUCUUUAAUGUGGACGAAACAGGUUUUCAGAUUUGUCCUAGUACUGGAAAAGUUUUCGCUGGAAAAGGAAUGACAGCUCCACCAAUGAUAAUAUAUCCCUACAAAAGAAUACCGGAAAAAAUAGCCGUUACAGUGAAUCCAAAUUGGGGGAUCGGGCGAUCCGAUAAUGGAUGGAUGACAUCAGAUACUUUUUAUGAUUAUAUUAAAAACAUGUUCUAUCCAUACUUGGUUGAAAACAAUAUUCAGCUUCCACUUGUAUUAUUCUUGGAUGAGCAAGUCCGACUUAACAUAUGAUCUAAGUAUUCUCUGCAAUGACCUACAAAUAGAAGUAUUUGCCCUUUAUCCUAAUGCAACUCGACUAUUGCAGCCUUUUGAUGUUGCGGUAUUUAGACCAAUAAAGAUGGGCUGGAAAAAAGCUGUUAGAAAUUAUUAUGAGCGAAAUCCAGCUUAGAAAUGGUGGUGACAGAAGCAGUCAAAACAGAGACGCUUAUCAAUGGUUUUAAAGCAUGCGGACUCUAUCCAUUUAAUCCGGAUGCUAUUGACUAUUCUAAACGCUUGGGAAAUCCCAUGAAACUGUUGAGGAAACGAUAUCUGCUCCUGUAAUGAUGGAUGAAGAGAAUUUUAGUAAUUUUGUUGGGGCUAAACUUAUUACUAAAUUCGAAUCAUAUGACGCCAUUCUCAUUAAAGAAGGAUUUACUCCUGAGUUUUUAGCCCUCCAUAGGAUGUAGAGUUUCUUCAGGAAACCUAAUGCCAGAGAAUUGAAGGAAUCUUCUAAUCAACACAAUCCAACGAAUGAACCAAAUAACUUUAAAAAUGACACUGAAAAAAAUUGAUGAAUCUAGGCAGGAAAAUCAAACUUUCAAUGGAGCAAUUGAUAUGAUUUCAAGUCAAGCUUCAAACAGUAAGAAAGUUCAUGUAUUUGCUAAUGUACUUAUUACGAAAGAUAAUGAUUUAACACAAACCAUUUCUCCUGACAUUGGGAUAAUUGCGCCUUCAAACGAACAAAUAGAUACCGAGUCGAAGAACAAAACACCUGGCUUUUCACCAAUAGGUAAAUGUAUUAGUGACUUCCUUAAAAUUCCUGAUAAGCCUGAGCGCAAAAAUAAGCGCCAAGUUGAACGUGUAUCUUUUGCUAUAACUCCUCGAGCCUAUCAGGAAAAUUUUGAGGCUAAAAAGACUCUUAAGUUGGAGGAAGAAAAUAAAAAGAUUGAAAAAAAACGUAAAAGGAAAGAAAAAGCUGCAACUAAACCUAACCUAAAAAAUAAAAAAGUUUGUAAAUCAACCGAAAAUAAACAAGAUGCCGUCUGCUCGGUCUGUAAGAAACGCAUAGCCAAAAGUAAACAUUGGACAUGUAAUAUUUGCCAUAAAAAGUUUCAUAACAUAUGUAUCUCAAAAGAACAUAAGGAGCAUGUCCCCGAUGUAGAUGAUAACGAUUUAUUCUUAUGUCAUGUCAUAACUGCUACCAAGAAGAAAAUGAUAAAGAUAUUAAUAGUGAGGAGAAUUUUGAGGAUUUAAAAACAGAACAAAAUGUCUUCAUUGGCGAACGAAGAUUUAAGGAUCUGGCGAGCAUGGCAAAUAUAAGUUAUCUAAAAGAAGAAGAAGAUGAAAUGGUAAAAGCUAUCGACUCGGAGGAAGUAACAUGUCCGACUGACAUGUUACGACAUGACUGACAUGUCGGAGAAUAUUUUAAUUGACCAAAAUCAAACAGAAAAUGAGGGAAUAUACGAAAAUAAUCAAUUUUAUAGUGAGCAACUAGUCGGCGAUGAUCUAAGUGAAUUAAACGCAGACAAAAUGAUGAGGACGAGGAUCAAGAAGUGGAUGAACUUUGUGCUUUAUAUAAAAAUGAACAUAAACAUUUUUAAUAAUGAUUAAUAAUGGAAUUUGCUUAUAUUACAUGUUUGUAGACUAAAAAACCGAGUUUACCGCGUUUUUACCUAAAUAAAAAAUUAAAAGAU
Molecule: RNA transcript, 4058 nt
Organism: Anthonomus grandis grandis
Lineage: Eukaryota; Metazoa; Arthropoda; Insecta; Coleoptera; Curculionidae
Exons: 7
Source: RefSeq, a predicted model, not a curated record